CAAUAGCGUAUAUUUAAGUUGUUGCAGUUAAAAAGCUCGUAGUUGGAUUUCGGGUUGGCUUCAGCGGUCUCGCUUUGCGUUUGUACUGCCGCAGCCUUCCUUCUUGCUGGGGACGGUCCUCCGGGCUUCAUUGCUUGGGGUCUGGAAUCAGCGACGUUACUUUGAGUAAAUUAGAGUGUUCAAAGCAAGCCUACGCUCUGAAUAUAAUAGCAUGGGAUAACACGACAGGACUCUGGCCUAUCGCGUUGGUCUGUAGGACCAGAGUAAUGAUUAAGAGGGACAGUCGGGGGCAUUCGUAUUCCGUUGUCAGAGGUGAAAUUCUUGGAUUUACGGAAGACGAACAUCUGCGAAAGCAUUUGCCAAGGAUGUUUUCAUUGA
This 378-nucleotide ribosomal RNA is filed under the name uncultured eukaryote. RNAcentral's name for it is "partial 18S ribosomal RNA". It matches the Rfam family "Eukaryotic small subunit ribosomal RNA", at positions 592 to 976 of the family's 1831-position model. The record is from RNAcentral.